GCAGAGCUGAAUGGUGAAGCCCUCCUCAGGGGAAACGUGGUGUGCGGAAAACCCCCAAAAGCUGCACGAUGAAGAGCUCCUCAGGGACGUAGUGAAGAAAACAGCAAAAGCUGCUCGAGAAGGCACUCCUCAGAGGCUGCAGUGGAGAAAUACCAAAAGCUGGACGAUGAAGCACUCCUCAGGGGGAACGUGGUGAAGAGAUCCUGAAAAGCUGCACGAUGAAGAACUCCUCAUAGGCCGCAAUGAAGAAAAGACCAGAAGCUGCACUCAGAAGCACUCCUCAGGGCCUGGAAUGAGAAAAAAAAAACACCAAAUGUUAGAAGAUGAAGCACUUCUCAGGGGCAACAAGGUGAAAACAAUACCAAAAGCUCCAUGAUGAAGCUCUCCUCGGGGAAAUCAUGGUGAGGAGAACCCCAAAAGCUAGACGGUGCAGAACUCCUCAGGGCCAUAGAGAAGAAAACACCAAAAGCUGCAUGAAGAACUCCUCAGGGCCGUAGUGAAGAAAACACCAAAAGCUGCAUGAUGACACAUUCCUCCGGAGUCCCAAAGCGAAGAGAACCCCAAAAGCUGCACGAUGAAGAACUCCUCAGGGACCACAAGGUGAAGAAAACACAAAUAGCUCCACGGAGAAUUACUCCUCAAGUGCCACAGUGAAGAAAACGCAAAAAACUGAAUGAUGAAGCUCUCCUCAGGGGAAACGUGGCGUGGAGAACCCCAAAAACUGCACGAUGAAGACAUCCUCAGGGGAAACAGUGAAGGAAACACAAAAAGCUGGACGCAGAAGCACUCCUCAAGGGAAACGUGGUGUGGGGAAAACCCCCAAAAGCUGCACGAUGAAGACAUCCUCAG
Molecule: long non-coding RNA, 849 nt
Organism: Cygnus olor (mute swan)
Lineage: Eukaryota; Metazoa; Chordata; Aves; Anseriformes; Anatidae
Exons: 2
Source: RefSeq, a predicted model, not a curated record